UACGGGGGGGGCAAGCGUUGUUCGGAAUUACUGGGCGUAAAGGGCUCGUAGGCGGCCAACUAAGUCAGACGUGAAAUCCCUAGGCUCAACCUAGGAACUGCGUCUGAUACUGGAUGGCUUGAAUCCGGGAGAGGGAUGCAGAAUUCCAGGUGUAGCGGUGAAAUGCGUAGAGAUCAUGAGGAAGACCAGUGGCGAAGGCGGGUCUCUGGACAGUUCCUGACACUGAGGCACGAAGGCCAGGGGAGCAAACGGG
RNAcentral lists this ribosomal RNA (253 nucleotides) under uncultured bacterium. RNAcentral describes it as "partial 16S ribosomal RNA". It matches the Rfam family "Bacterial small subunit ribosomal RNA", at positions 524 to 776 of the family's 1533-position model. The record is from RNAcentral.